Molecule: ribosomal RNA, 435 nt
Filed under: uncultured bacterium
Lineage: Bacteria
Description: partial 16S ribosomal RNA
Rfam family: Bacterial small subunit ribosomal RNA
Source: RNAcentral
AGCGAACGCUGGCGGCAGGCUUAACACAUGCAAGUCGAGCGGGCAUCCUUGUGGUGUCAGCGGCAGACGGGUGAGUAACGCGUGGGAACGUGCCCUUCGGUUCGGAAUAACUCAGGGAAACUUGAGCUAAUACCGGAUACGUGCGAGAGCAGAAAGGUUUAUCUGCCGAAGGAUCGGCCCGCGUCUGAUUAGCUAGUUGGUGAGGUUAUGGCUCACCAAGGCGACGAUCAGUAGCUGGUCUGAGAGGAUGAUCAGCCACACUGGGACUGAGACACGGCCCAGACUCCUACGGGAGGCAGCAGUGGGGAAUAUUGGACAAUGGGGGCAACCCUGAUCCAGCCAUGCCGCGUGAGUGAUGACGGCCUUAGGGUUGUAAAGCUCUUUUCUCCGGGACGAUAAUGACGGUACCGGAGGAAGAAGCCCCGGCGAACGUCG